This 433-nucleotide ribosomal RNA is filed under the name uncultured bacterium. Its description in RNAcentral is "partial 16S ribosomal RNA". It matches the Rfam family "Bacterial small subunit ribosomal RNA", at positions 29 to 507 of the family's 1533-position model. The record is from RNAcentral.
AACGAACGCUGGCGGCAUGCCUAACACAUGCAAGUCGAACGAAACCUUCGGGUCUAGUGGCGCACGGGUGCGUAACGCGUGGGAACCUGCCCUCAUGUUCGGAAUAACUCCCCGAAAGGGGUGCUAAUACCGGAUAAUGUCUUCUAACCAAAGAUUUAUCGCCUUUGGAUGGGCCCGAGUUGGAUUAGCUAGUUGGUAGGGUAAAAGCCUACCAAGGCGACGAUCCAUAGCUGGUCUGAGAGGAUGAUCAGCCACACUGGGACUGAGACACGGCCCAGAAUCCUACGGGAGGCAGCAGUGGGGAAUAUUGGACAAUGGGCGAAAGCCUGAUCCAGCAAUGCCGCGUGAGUGAUGAAGGCCUUAGGGUUGUAAAGCUCUUUUACCCGGGAUGAUAAUGACAGUACCGGGAGAAUAAGCUCCGGCUAACUCCGUG